GACGAACGCUGGCGGCGUGCUUAACACAUGCAAGUCGAACGGAAAGGCCCUGCUUGUGUGGGGUGCUCGAGUGGCGAACGGGUGAGUAACACGUGAGUAACCUGCCCUUGACUGUGGGAUAACUUCAGGAAACUGGGGCUAAUACCGGAGAGGAGCUCCUGCUGCAUGGGGGGGGUUGGAAAGUUUCGGUGGUUGGGGAUGGACUCGCGGCUUAUCAGCUUGUUGGUGGGGUAGUGGCUUACCAAGGCUUUGACGGGUAGCCGGCCUGAGAGGGUGACCGGCCACAUUGGGCCUGCGAUACGGCCCAGACUCCUACGGGAGGCAGCAGUGGGGAAUAUUGCACAGUGGGCGGACGCCUGAUGCAGCAACGCCGCGUGCGGGAUGCCGGCCUUCGGGUUGUAAACCGCUUUCGCUUGUGACGAAGCGUGAGUGACGGUAAUGGGUAAAGAAGCACCGGCUAACUACGUG
This 468-nucleotide ribosomal RNA is filed under the name uncultured bacterium. RNAcentral describes it as "partial 16S ribosomal RNA". It matches the Rfam family "Bacterial small subunit ribosomal RNA", at positions 28 to 507 of the family's 1533-position model. The record is from RNAcentral.